RNAcentral lists this ribosomal RNA (253 nucleotides) under uncultured bacterium. RNAcentral describes it as "partial 16S ribosomal RNA". It matches the Rfam family "Bacterial small subunit ribosomal RNA", at positions 524 to 776 of the family's 1533-position model. The record is from RNAcentral.
UACAGAGGUCCCGAGCGUUGUUCGGAUUCACUGGGCGUAAAGGGUGCGUAGGUGGUGGGGUAAGUCUCGUGUGAAAGCUCGCAGCUUAACUGCGAAAAGUCACGGGAUACUAUCCGGCUAGAGGCUUGGAGGGGGGACUGGAAUACUUGGUGUAGCAGUGAAAUGCGUAGAUAUCAAGUGGGACACCAGUGGCGAAGGCGAGUCCCUGGACAAGACCUGACACUGAGGCACGAAAGCCAGGGGAGCAAACAGG